This 279-nucleotide ribosomal RNA is filed under the name uncultured bacterium. RNAcentral describes it as "partial 16S ribosomal RNA". It matches the Rfam family "Bacterial small subunit ribosomal RNA", at positions 506 to 784 of the family's 1533-position model. The record is from RNAcentral.
UGCCAGCAGCCGCGGUAAUACGGAGGGUGCGAGCGUUAAUCGGAAUUACUGGGCGUAAAGCGCGCGUAGGCGGUUUGUUAAGUCGGAUGUGAAAUCCCCGGGCUCAACCUGGGAACUGCACUCGAUACUGGCCGACCAGAGUACGAGAGAGGGAGGUAGAAUUCCACGUGUAGCGGUGAAAUGCGUAGAUAUGUGGAGGAAUACCAGUGGCGAAGGCGGCUUACUGGACUGUAACUGACGCUGAGGCGCGAAAGCGUGGGGAGCGAACGGGAUUAGAUA